This 468-nucleotide ribosomal RNA is filed under the name uncultured bacterium. Its description in RNAcentral is "partial 16S ribosomal RNA". It matches the Rfam family "Bacterial small subunit ribosomal RNA", at positions 28 to 507 of the family's 1533-position model. The record is from RNAcentral.
GACGAACGCUGGCGGCGUGCUUAAUACAUGCAAGUCGAACGGAAAGGCCCUGCUUUUGUGGGGUGCUCGUGUGGCGAACGGGUGAGUAACACGUGUGUAACCUGCCCCUGACUUUGUGAUAACUUCAGGAAACUGGGGCUAAUACCGGAUAGGAGCUCCUGCUGCACGGUGGGGGUUGGAAAGUUUCGGCGGUUGGGGCUGGACUCGCGGCUUAUCAGCUUGUUGGUGAGGUAGUGGCUUACCAAGGCUUUGACGGAUAGCCCGCCUGGGAGGGUGGCCGGCCACCAUGGGACUAAGAGAGGGACCAGUAUCCAACGGGAGGCAACAGUGGGGAAUAUUGCACAAUGGGCGGGAGCCUGAUGCAGCAACGCCGCGUGCGGAAUAACGGCCUUCGAGUUAUAAACCGCUUUCGCCUGUGACGAAGCGUGAGUGACGGUAAUGGAUAAAGAAGCACCGGCUAACUACGUG